UGAGUGUGAAGACCUGAGGUAUCAGGGGUAGGGGUUGCUCUGCUUGUGUAAGUCCCAUAGUGUGAAGGCCAGAGAACCAAGAGAUGGUCAAGAAGAGAGAGUAAGUGUCCAAUGUCCCAGCUCAAGAAGAGAGACAAGACCAACCCCGCCUCUUCCUUCUCCUUCUCGACCUACUCAAAGUAAAGAUGAGGAUGAAGACCCUUAAGAUGAUCCACUCCCACUUAAUGAAUACAAUGGCUUCCAGGAGCAUCACGACCUGUGCAGACUCCCCAGCAUCAUAACAGGAAGGUCCCACGAUCACGAGCACAUUGCCUUCAGCAUCCAGCACUGAAUAUGGUGAAUUGCACUCUGAAGAGCUUCCUAAGCUUGUAAGAAAGUGAUUCUGAAAAGCUCAACAUUUUGGUAGAAUGGAGAGAUUUGACAUUGCUUCUGCUCCAAAAGCAAAAGACUUGGGCCUGGCGUAAAGGAGAUGGGACUCACACCCAAGAGGAUGCAUUUCCAUACACCCAUUUCUGAAAUAUGAAGAGGUGUCCAGUCUGUUUGAUUCAUAGCUGCCUGUUCCACAACUGCAGAUACAGUAAUUGAUAACCGAGACCAAGUUCUCAUCCCCAUCUCCCAGGGCUGGAACUGGGGCUGUGUUUGGUUCUCAUAAGAUCAGUUCCAGUUUUAGAAACUGAGUAAAUUGUGGAGUAAAUAUUGCCAAGUGAUGGCUUUCUGCUGUAGGCGUGGGUCGCUGUUGGCCAUUUGCCUCAGCAUAUCACCAGCAAUGCACCUCAUUGCAUCACUGCAUUUCCAAUUACACCUCAAAGCACCACUGGUCCCCUGUCCACCCUCUGCCCUGCAGAGGUGGGUGUUCAGGGAGACAGAUCCAAAAUCUGGGCUCAGAAGAUGGAAAUGCCAACUGCUCUCAAUUUGAGAGUGGGGAUGAGACUUUUUGACUCAACUCUGGUUAAUUCAGCCAUGCUGUCAGAGCUGCUUUGAUGCAAGGACAUCUGAAUGCUAUCUGAAUGCUGCCCCUAAAAUAACAAAUUAAAAACAACAACAACAACAAAAA
Molecule: long non-coding RNA, 1054 nt
Organism: Homo sapiens (human)
Lineage: Eukaryota; Metazoa; Chordata; Mammalia; Primates; Hominidae
Product: long intergenic non-protein coding RNA 1584
Source: Ensembl